RNAcentral lists this ribosomal RNA (449 nucleotides) under uncultured bacterium. Its description in RNAcentral is "bacterial SSU rRNA". It matches the Rfam family "Bacterial small subunit ribosomal RNA", at positions 335 to 799 of the family's 1533-position model. The record is from RNAcentral.
ACUCCUACGGGAGGCAGCAGUGGGGAAUCUUAGACAAUGGGCGCAAGCCUGAUCUAGCCAUGCCGCGUGAGUGACGAAGGCCUUAGGGUCGUAAAGCUCUUUCGCCAGGGAUGAUAAUGACAGUACCUGGUAAAGAAACCCCGGCUAACUCCGUGCCAGCAGCCGCGGUAAUACGGAGGGGUUAGCGUUGUUCGGAAUUACUGGGGCGUAAAGCGCACGUAGGCGGACUGGAAAGUUGGGGGUGAAAUCCCGGGGGCUCAACCUCGGAACUGCCUCCAAAACUACUAGUCUAGAGUUCGAGAGAGGUGAGUGGAAUUCCGAGUGUAGAGGUGAAAUUCGUAGAUAUUCGGAGGAACACCAGUGGCGAAGGCGGCUCACUGGCUCGAUACUGACGCUGAGGUGCGAAAGUGUGGGGAGCAAACAGGAUUAGAUACCCUGGUAGGAUAGCG